UCCGUUAUAGUCUAAAUGGUCAAGAUACUCGGCUCUCACCGGGAGAACCGGGUUCGAAUCCCGGUAACGGAG
RNAcentral lists this transfer RNA (72 nucleotides) under Marchantia polymorpha subsp. ruderalis. It matches the Rfam family "tRNA". From Rfam's summary of the family: Transfer RNA (tRNA) molecules are approximately 80 nucleotides in length. Their secondary structure includes four short double-helical elements and three loops (D, anti-codon, and T loops). The record is from Rfam by way of RNAcentral. Lineage: Eukaryota; Viridiplantae; Streptophyta; Marchantiopsida; Marchantiales; Marchantiaceae.